This 436-nucleotide ribosomal RNA is filed under the name uncultured bacterium. Its description in RNAcentral is "bacterial SSU rRNA". It matches the Rfam family "Bacterial small subunit ribosomal RNA", at positions 29 to 507 of the family's 1533-position model. The record is from RNAcentral.
AGACGCGAACGCUAGGGCGGCAGGCCUAAUACAUGCAAGUCGAGCGCCCCUUCGGGGGAGCGGCGGACGGGUGAGUAACGCGUGGGAAUGUGCCCUUUGGUACGGAACAACUGAGGGAAACUUCAGCUAAUACCGUAUGUGCCCUUCGGGGGAAAGAUUUAUCGCCAUUGGAGCAGCCCGCGUUGGAUUAGGUAGUUGGUGAGGUAAAGGCUCACCAAGCCUACGAUCCAUAGCUGGUCUGAGAGGAUGAUCAGCCACACUGGGACUGAGACACGGCCCAGACUCCUACGGGAGGCAGCAGUAGGGAAUCUUGCGCAAUGGGCGAAAGCCUGACGCAGCCAUGCCGCGUGAAUGAUGAAGGUCUUAGGAUUGUAAAAUUCUUUCACCGGGGAAGAUAAUGACGGUACCCGGAGAAGAAGCCCCGGCUAACUUCGUG